GGGGAUUUAGUUCAGUGGUACAGCACCUGCCUGACAAGCAUGAAGUCCUGAGUUAGAUUCCCAGUACCUA
This 70-nucleotide transfer RNA is filed under the name Cavia porcellus (domestic guinea pig). It matches the Rfam family "tRNA". From Rfam's summary of the family: Transfer RNA (tRNA) molecules are approximately 80 nucleotides in length. Their secondary structure includes four short double-helical elements and three loops (D, anti-codon, and T loops). The record is from Rfam by way of RNAcentral. Lineage: Eukaryota; Metazoa; Chordata; Mammalia; Rodentia; Caviidae.